GUGAGAUCAUGACCUGAGCUGAAGUUGGACGCUUAACUGACUGAGCCACCCAGGUGCCCGUGGACUUGACCACACUGUUUAUUCACAUUCUUGAGAAGAGAGGACCUGAUCGGCACUUAGAAGUUAAUGGUCCGCGUGGAGCUGCCGUGAUGCACUUUCGGGGCACCGAUGCGCUUUCUUUUCACGAUGACUUGCUCACGUACCCACCACUGCUUGCAAGUCCUCGGAGAAGAUGGUGGCCCUGGAGACCGCAAUCCCUCCAUUUCCCGAGAACCCCAUCAAGAAGCUUUACAUAUUUUUCAUGUCAGCCCAGCUCCUGGCCACCUUUGUUUUGCAGCCUGCGUGCCUGCCUCCCCGUAACAGCUGGACACAUCACCAUUCCAUUUUUCUAUUGGUUGUGACUGAAGUAGCUUGAGGUCAAUUAUUUCCCCAGCAAUUGACAAAGAAUCUUGACGAAGAGGAAAGUGACAUUGUCCCUUAAACCACGCUGCCCCCUCCUCCCCCCGCCCUCCCGGCCGAGGGAGGGCAGACUUCCCUUUUGCGAGCAUCCCAGCAGGGCAGGGGCGGCGGGGUCUGUGGAAGUGCGUGGGUAACAUAUGGUAAGUGGAGAGAAUAUUUAUAUUCAUGGCGAAGGAGCAGAAGAUCCAAAGAAGGUCGUUCCGCAGAGACUUCAGGCAGGAGACCUGCAGACUGGAUAUUCCGUCUCUGGCC
Long non-coding RNA from Hyaena hyaena (striped hyena), 711 nucleotides. RefSeq lists it as uncharacterized. The transcript has 3 exons. NCBI's taxonomy places the organism in Eukaryota, Metazoa, Chordata, Mammalia, Carnivora, Hyaenidae. The record is from RefSeq and is a predicted model, not a curated record.